RNAcentral lists this ribosomal RNA (253 nucleotides) under uncultured bacterium. Its description in RNAcentral is "partial 16S ribosomal RNA". It matches the Rfam family "Bacterial small subunit ribosomal RNA", at positions 524 to 776 of the family's 1533-position model. The record is from RNAcentral.
GACGGAGGGUGCAAGCGUUAUCCGGAUUCACUGGGUUUAAAGGGUGCGUAGGCGGGUAUAUAAGUCAGUGGUGAAAGCUCCGGGCUUAACUUGGAAACUGCCAUUGAUACUGUAUAUCUUGAAUGUCGUAGAGGUUAGCGGAAUGUUGCAUGUAGCGGUGAAAUGCUUAGAUAUGUUACAGAACACCAAUUGCGAAGGCAGCUAACUAUGCGAUGAUUGACGCUGAGGCACGAAAGCGUGGGGAGCAAACAGG